GUUCGAUUCUGGCUCAGAUUGAACGCUGGCGGGAUGCUUUACACAUGCAAGUCGAACGGGCAGCACGGACUUUGGUCUGGUGGCGAGUGGCGAACGGGUGAGUAAUGUAUCGGAACGUGCCUAGUAGUGGGGAUAACUACGAAAGCGUAGCUAAUACCGCAUACGCCCUUCGGGGAAAGCGGGGACCCGGGCCCUCGCACCACAGAGCGGCCGAUAUCGAUUAGCUAGUUGUGGGGCACUGCUCACCAAGGCGACGAUCCGUAGCUGGUUUGAGAGGACGACUGAGCCACACUGGGAUCGAGACACGGCCCAAUUCCUACGGAGGCAGCAGUGGGGAAUUUGACAAUGGGAAACUCCGAUCCAGCCAUCCUGCAGGGGUGGCGAUGAAGGCCUCGGGUACAAAGCACUUCUUGGUGCAGGAAAGAAACGGCAUCGAUAAUACCCUGUGCAACUGACGGUACCCGUGGUGAAUAAGCACCGGCUAACUACGCCAGCAGCCGCGGUAAUACGCAGGGUGCAAGCGUUAAUCGGAAUUACUGGGCGUAAAGCGUGCAGGCGGUUCGAAAGAAAGAUGAAACCUGUGAGCUAACUUUGAAACCGCAUUUUUAACUACCGAGCUAGAGUGUGUCAGAGGGAGGUGGAAUUCGCGUGUAGCAGUGAAAUGCGUAGAUAUGCGAGGAACACCGAUGGCGAAGGCAGCCUCCUGGGAUAACACUGACGCUCAUGCACGAAAGCGUGGGGAGCAAACAGGAUUAGAUACCUCUGGUAGUCCAUGCCCCAAACGAUGUCAACUAGGCUGUUGGGGCCUUCGGGCCUUGGUAGCGCAGCUAACGCGCUGGACCGCCUGUAUACGGUCGCAAGAUUAAAAACUCAAAGGCGAAUUGACGGGACCCGCACAAGCGGUGGAUGCAUAUGGGGAUUAAUUCGAUGCAACGCGAAAAACUCCAUCGCACUUUGACAUGUCUGGAAUCCCUGAAGAGAUUUGGGAGUGCUGCAAGAGAACCGGAACAGAGCGUAAUGGCUGUCGUCAGCUCGUGUCGUGAGAUGUUGGGUUAAGUCCCGCAACGAGCGCAACCCUUGUCAUUAGUUGCUACGAAAGGGCACUCUAAUGAGACUGCCGGUGACAAACCGGAGGAAGGUGGAUGACGUCAAGUCCCUACGCCCUUAUGGGUAGGGCUUCACACGUCAUACACGCAUCGGGACAGAGAGGGUCGCUAACCCGCGAGGGAGCUAAUCCUGAAACCCGAUCGUAGUCCGGAUCGCAGUCUGCAACUCGACUGCGUAGUCGGAAUCAGCGUUAGUAAUCGCGGAUCAGCAUGUCGCGGUGAAUACGUUCCCGGGUCUUGUACACACCGCCCGUCACACCAUGGGAGUGGGUUUUACCAGAAGUAGUUACCAACCGUAAGGAGGGCGAUUACCACGGGGUAGGAUUCAUGACCGGGGGUGAAGUCGUAACAAGGUAA
RNAcentral lists this ribosomal RNA (1463 nucleotides) under uncultured Bordetella sp. RNAcentral describes it as "partial 16S-23S ribosomal RNA intergenic spacer". It matches the Rfam family "Bacterial small subunit ribosomal RNA". The record is from RNAcentral. Lineage: Bacteria; Pseudomonadati; Pseudomonadota; Betaproteobacteria; Burkholderiales; Alcaligenaceae.